GUGUCAGCAGCCGCGGUAAUACGGGGGGGGCAAGCGUUGUUCGGAAUUACUGGGCGUAAAGGGUUCGUAGGUGGCCUACUAAGUCAGACGUGAAAUCCCUCAGCUUAACUGGGGAACUGCGUCUGAUACUGGGGGGCUUGAGUGCAGGAGAGGAACGCGGAAUUCCAGGUGUAGCGGUGAAAUGCGUAGAUAUCUGGAGGAACACCGGUGGCGAAGGCGGCGUUCUGGACUGCAACUGACACUGAUGAACGAAAGCCAGGGGAGCAAACGGGAUUAGAUACCCGUGUAGUCC
Molecule: ribosomal RNA, 292 nt
Filed under: uncultured bacterium
Lineage: Bacteria
Description: partial 16S ribosomal RNA
Rfam family: Bacterial small subunit ribosomal RNA
Source: RNAcentral